Molecule: ribosomal RNA, 797 nt
Filed under: uncultured Glomeromycotina
Lineage: Eukaryota; Fungi; Glomeromycota
Description: SSU rRNA
Rfam family: Eukaryotic small subunit ribosomal RNA
Source: RNAcentral
AUCAACUUUCGAUGGUAGGAUAGAGGCCUACCAUGGUGGUAACGGGUAACGGGGUGUUAGGGCACGACACCGGAGAGGGAGCCUGAGAAACGGCUACCACAUCCAAGGAUGGCAGCAGGCGCGCAAAUUACCCAAUCCCGACACGGGGAGGUAGUGACAAUAAAUAACAAUACGGGGUCCUUUCGGGUUUCGUAAUUGGAAUGAGUACAAUUUAAAUCUCUUAACGAGGAACAAUUGGAGGGCAAGUCUGGUGCCAGCAGCCGCGGUAAUUCCAGCUCCAAUAGCGUAUAUUAAAGUUGUUGCAGUUAAAAAGCUCGUAGUUGAAUUUCGGGACUAGUACGCUGGUCGUGCCUUCGGUAUGUACUGGUGUUACUGGUUCCUACCUUCUGACGAACCGUCAUGUCAUUAAUUUGGUGUGGCGGGGAAUCAGGACUGUUACUUUGAAAAAAUUAGAGUGUUUAAAGCAGGCUCGCGCUUGAAUACAUUAGCAUGGAAUAAUGAAAUAGGACGUUCGAUCCUAUUUUGUUGGUUUCUAGGAUUGACGUAAUGAUUAAUAGGGAUAGUUGGGGGCAUUAGUAUUCAAUUGUCAGAGGUGAAAUUCUUGGAUUUAUUGAAGACUAACUACUGCGAAAGCAUUUGCCAAGGAUGUUUUCAUUAAUCAAGAACGAAAGUUAGGGGAUCGAAGACGAUCAGAUACCGUCGUAGUCUUAACCAUAAACUAUGCCGACUAGGGAUCGGAUGAUGUUAUUUUUAAUGACUCAUUCGGCGCCUUACGGGAAACCAAAGUGUUUGGGUUC